RNAcentral lists this transfer RNA (85 nucleotides) under Felis catus (domestic cat). It matches the Rfam family "tRNA". From Rfam's summary of the family: Transfer RNA (tRNA) molecules are approximately 80 nucleotides in length. Their secondary structure includes four short double-helical elements and three loops (D, anti-codon, and T loops). Lineage: Eukaryota; Metazoa; Chordata; Mammalia; Carnivora; Felidae. The record is from Rfam by way of RNAcentral.
GCCUGGGUGGCUCAGUCGGUUGAGCGUCUGACUUUGGCUCAGGUCAUGAUCUCGCGGUCUGUGAGUCUGAGCCUCGCAUUGGGCU